CCUUCGGGGUGCGCAGGCGCGAAAACUUUACAAUGCGGGAAACCGUGAUAAGGGGACACCGAGUGCCAGCAUCAUAUGCUGGCUGUCCGGGUGUGUAAAAUACACCCGUUAGCAAGGGCCGGGCAAGACCGGUGCCAGCCGCCGCGGUAACACCGGCGGCCCGAGUGGUGAUCGUGAUUAUUGGGUCUAAAGGGUCCGUAGCCGGUUUGGUCAGUCCUCCGGGAAAUCUGACGGCUCAACCGUUAGGCUUUCGGGGGAUACUGCCAGGCUUGGAACCGGGAGAGGUAAGAGGUACUACAGGGGUAGGAGUGAAAUCUUGUAAUCCCUGUGAGGCCACCUGUGGCGAAGGCGUCUUACCAGAACGGGUUCGACGGUGAGGGACGAAAGCUGGGGGCACGAACCGGAUUAGAUACCCGGGUAGUCCCAGCCGUAAACGAUGCUCGCUAGGUGUCAGGCAUGGCGCGACCGUGUCUGGUGCCGCAGGGAAGCCGUGAAGCGAGCCACCUGGGAAGUACGGCCGCAAGGCUGAAACUUAAAGGAAUUGGCGGGGGAGCAC
Molecule: ribosomal RNA, 556 nt
Filed under: uncultured archaeon
Lineage: Archaea
Description: bacterial SSU rRNA
Rfam family: Archaeal small subunit ribosomal RNA
Source: RNAcentral